Molecule: unclassified non-coding RNA, 1399 nt
Filed under: Hevea brasiliensis (rubber tree)
Lineage: Eukaryota; Viridiplantae; Streptophyta; Magnoliopsida; Malpighiales; Euphorbiaceae
Source: RNAcentral
AUGAAAGUCAUGGUUUGAGCAGUGCUCGCAGGGCGGAUCAACCUCGGAAGCAGGAAGAUUUCUUUCCGGGGCCACUUCCAUUAGUGCGGUUGAAUCCCAGAUUCGAUUGGGCUGAUGAUGAACGUGACACUGGACAUGGAUUUGCAGAUAGGGCCAGAGAUAUUGGUAUUUCAAAAGUUGAUAACUAUUGGGAUAGAGAUUUUGAUAUGCCUCGAACUAGUGUUUUACCCCUUAAACCUGUUCAUAACCAAUAUGAAAGGAGGGCUCCUAGAGAGACCCUGACUGGGAAUGGGUUUUCCACUGACCAGAGAGGGGACAGUUAUAGCAGGGAUCUGAGAACACCUAGUAGAGAAGGUAGGGAAGCAAGCACAUGGAGGAACUCAAUUCAUUCUAGAGAUGGUAAUGUUCCAUACAUAGCUAACGACAGAAAUGCUGUUAGCUUGGGUGGAUCUGUUGUUAACAAGGAUUUAGGGAAAGAUAACAAAUAUGUUCCGCCACAUUUUGGGGACACUGCUCGUGAUGGAAGUUUUACUGGAAAUCAGGAUUAUUCAUAUGGAAGGAAGGACAUGGGUCUUAUUACUGACGGCAAACAACGCCGGAAUCAUGCAAAUGAAACAUCCAACAGUCGAGGGGUUGAGCGCAUGACUCAAGAUCGCCUUGGGAGUGAACUGUCCAGCAGAUACAGGCGUGAUGGAUUUCAGAACAUCGCUGGGCCAAAAUCUUCGUUCUCAUCUGUUGGGAAAUCACUGCCUCUGGGUGACCCUGUUCUGAAUGUGGGCAGGGAUAAAUAUGUUUCAAGGGGCGAAAGGCCAUACAAAGAGGAUCCAUACUUGAAAGACUUCGAAUCUGCAGGAUUUGAUGAAAGGGAUCUCUUUUCCGGAGGACUUGCUGGGGUGAUCAAGAGAAAAAAGGAUGUAGUUAAGCAGACUGAUUUCUAUGACCCUGUGAGAGAAUCCUUCGAGGCUGAAUUGGAGCGAGUUCAAAAGAUGCAAGAGCUUGAGCGACAACGAGUUAUGGAAGAACAAGAAAGAGCAUUGGAGCAAUCUCGAAGGGAGGAAGAGGAGCGACUGAGACUGAUUAGAGAAGAGGAAGAACGUCGGCUAAAGUUGGAAGAAGAAGCACGAGAAACUGCUUGGAGGGCAGAGCAAGAGCGCCUUGAUGCAGUAAGAAGAGCUGAAGAGCAGAGAAUUGCGAGAGAGGAAGAGAAAAAGAGGAUCUUCAUGGAGGAAGAAAGAAGGAAGCAGGCUGCUAAACAAAAGCUUUUGGAAUUGGAGGCCAAGAUAGCCAAGAGGCAGACUGAAGUAACAAAAACUGAUACCUUAAUUGUCACUACUGAAGAGAAAAUAUCUGCCAUGAGUAAGGACAUAGAUAUUUCAGGGGCAUCUGAUGUGGAUAAUUG